UUUCUUAAUUUCAUAGCCGUAAGGCUAUUGGCUGGUGGUUAAUUAACCACCGGCCU
Non-coding RNA from Vibrio sp., 56 nucleotides. The record is from Rfam. NCBI's taxonomy places the organism in Bacteria, Pseudomonadati, Pseudomonadota, Gammaproteobacteria, Vibrionales, Vibrionaceae.